CCCUACGGGGCGCAGCAGUGAGGAAUAUUGGUCAAUGGGCGAGAGCCUGAACCAGCCAAGUCGCGUGAGGGAUGACUGCCCUAUGGGUUGUAAACCUCUUUCGUAUGGGGGGAAUAAGCUUUACGAGUAGAGUGAUGACAGUACCAUACGAAUAAGCAUCGGCUAACUCCGUGCCAGCAGCCGCGGUAAUACGGAGGAUGCGAGCGUUAUCCGGAUUUAUUGGGUUUAAAGGGUGCGUAGGCGGUCGGAUAAGUUAGAGGUGAAAUCCCGAGGCUCAACUUCGGAAUUGCCUCUGAUACUGUUCG
RNAcentral lists this ribosomal RNA (305 nucleotides) under uncultured bacterium. RNAcentral describes it as "bacterial SSU rRNA". It matches the Rfam family "Bacterial small subunit ribosomal RNA", at positions 337 to 639 of the family's 1533-position model. The record is from RNAcentral.